AGGAAUGUUCCUUCUUUGCC
This 20-nucleotide microRNA is filed under the name Pan troglodytes (chimpanzee). RNAcentral describes it as "ptr-miR-613". Its record names the gene ptr-miR-613. RNAcentral also lists the same sequence under 1 other name. The record is from miRBase by way of RNAcentral. Lineage: Eukaryota; Metazoa; Chordata; Mammalia; Primates; Hominidae.